RNAcentral lists this ribosomal RNA (253 nucleotides) under uncultured bacterium. RNAcentral's name for it is "partial 16S ribosomal RNA". It matches the Rfam family "Bacterial small subunit ribosomal RNA", at positions 524 to 776 of the family's 1533-position model. The record is from RNAcentral.
UACGUAGGGGGCUAGCGUUGUCCGGAAUCAUUGGGCGUAAAGCGCGUGUAGGCGGCCCGGUAAGCCCGCUGUGAAAGUCGGGGGCUCAACCCUCGGAUGCCGGUGGAUACUGUCGGGCUCGAGUACGGAAGAGGCGAGUGGAAUUCCUGGUGUAGCGGUGAAAUGCGCAGAUAUCAGGAGGAACACCAAUUGCGAAGGCAGCUCGCUGGGACGUUACUGACGCUGAGACGCGAAAGCGUGGGGAGCAAACAGG